GAAAGAAAGCAUCGCCUUCAUGAUGGCUUUAUUUGGACAUUUUCUCAACCUCAAACAGUGUUCCUUGAACACAUAUGGAGAAGUAGAUCCCAGUGGCAAAUGGGAGAACUGUGAUAAAUAUGAAGACACACCACCCAGAUCCUUCAAAGAAAGACUUGCUGAAGGGAGUACGGUCAGCAGACAGCCUCCACUAUCUACUCCUUCAGAGCUGGCCUCAGCUACGACAAACUGCUUCUUGUGCAUCCAGGGAUUGAACAAGGCAGGGGAGUAAAGGUCUAGCCAUUUUGCCGGAACACUGGACACCUUAAUGAGCAAUGCUCUCUCCAGAGCUCCAUGCCAAGUUAGCCAAAGCUUCACUGGGCCUGUAUCACAGUUUGAUUUCUUCCUCUACCCAAUCCUUCUUACUUCCUCCUCUCUUUACAGACACUGAUCUGUAAUAAACAUCUUGCUCACUAAA
This is a long non-coding RNA of Choloepus didactylus (southern two-toed sloth), 457 nucleotides long. RefSeq lists it as uncharacterized. Lineage: Eukaryota; Metazoa; Chordata; Mammalia; Pilosa; Megalonychidae. The transcript is spliced from 2 exons. The record is from RefSeq and is a predicted model, not a curated record.